GACGAACGCUGGCGGCGUGCUUAACACAUGCAAGUCGAACGGAAAGGCCCUGCUUUUGUGGGGUGCUCGAGUGGCGAACGGGUGAGGAACACGUGAGUAACCUGCCCUUGACUUUGGGAUAACUUCAGGAAACUGGGGCUAAUACCGGAUAGGAGCUCCUGCUGCAUGGGGGGGGUUGGAAAGUUUCGGCGGUUGGGGAUGGACCCGCGGCUUAUCAGCUUGUUGGUGGGGUAGUGGCUUACCAAGGCUUUGACGGGUAGCCGGCCUGAGAGGGUGACCGGCCACAUUGGGACUGAGAUACGGCCCAGACUCCUACGGGAGGCAGCAGUGGGGAAUAUUGCACAAUGGGCGGAAGCCUGAUGCAGCAACGCCGCGUGCGGGAUGACGGCCUUCGGGUUGUAAACCGCUUUCGCCUGUGACGAAGCGUGAGUGACGGUAAUGGGUAAAGAAGCACCGGCUAACUACGUG
Molecule: ribosomal RNA, 468 nt
Filed under: uncultured bacterium
Lineage: Bacteria
Description: partial 16S ribosomal RNA
Rfam family: Bacterial small subunit ribosomal RNA
Source: RNAcentral